GAAAUGCGAUAAGUAGUGUGAAUUGCAGAAUUCAGUGAAUCAUCGAAUCUUUGAACGCACAUUGCGCCCCUUGGUAUUCCAUGGGGCAUGCCUGUUCGGGCGUCAUUUGUACCCUCAAGCUCUGCUUGGUGUUGGGUGUUUGUCCCCGUCUCCGCGCGUGGACUCGCCCCAAAGUGAUUGGCAGCCGGCGUACUGGUCCCGGAGCGCAGCACAUGUCGCGCAAACGAGUGCCUUGGUACGGCGGCGUCCAUAAGCCCCUCUCUCACGCUCUUGACCUCGGAUCAGGUAGGGAUACCCGCUGAACUUAAGC
RNAcentral lists this unclassified non-coding RNA (310 nucleotides) under plant metagenome. RNAcentral's name for it is "partial contains 5.8S ribosomal RNA, internal transcribed spacer 2, and large subunit ribosomal RNA". The stretch from base 1 to 105 matches the Rfam family "5.8S ribosomal RNA", at positions 50 to 154 of the family's 154-position model. The record is from RNAcentral.